UACGUAUGGGGCAAGCGUUAUCCGGAUUCACUGGGUGUAAAGGGAGCGUAGGUGGUUUGGCAAGUCAGAUGUGAAAGCCCGGGGCUCAACCCCGGUAGUGCAUUUGAAACUGCCAAACUAGAGUGCAGGAGAGGUAAGUGGAAUUCCUAGUGUAGCGGUGAAAUGCGUAGAUAUUAGGAGGAACACCAGUGGCGAAGGCGACUUACUGGACUGUAACUGACACUGAGGCUCGAAAGCGUGGGGAGCAAACAGG
RNAcentral lists this ribosomal RNA (253 nucleotides) under uncultured bacterium. Its description in RNAcentral is "partial 16S ribosomal RNA". It matches the Rfam family "Bacterial small subunit ribosomal RNA", at positions 524 to 776 of the family's 1533-position model. The record is from RNAcentral.